AGCAGCCGCGGUAAUUCCAGCUCCAAUAGCGUAUAUUAAAGUUGUUGCGGUUAAAAAGCUCGUAGUUGAAUUUCGGGGGUCGGUAGGUUGGUCAUGCCUCUGGUAUGCACUGGUCUCACUGAUUCCUCCUUCCUGAUGAGCCGUAAUGCCAUUAAUUUGGUGUUGCGAGGAAUCUGGACUGUUACUUUGAAAAAAUUAGAGUGUUUAAAGCAAGCUAACGCUUGAAUACAUUAGCAUGGAAUAAUGGAAUAGGACGUUCGAUCCUAUUUUGUUGGUUUCUAGGAUUGACGUAAUGAUUAAUAGGGAUAGUUGGGGGCAUUAGUAUUCAAUUGUUCAGAGGUGAAAUUCUUGGAUUUAUUGAAGACUAACUACUGCGAAAGCAUUUGCCAAGGAUGUUUUCAUUAAUCAAGAACGAAAGUUAGGGGAUCGAAGACGAUCAGAUACCGUCGUAGUCUUAACCAUAAACCUAAUUGCCGACUAGGGAUCGGAUGAUGUUAAUUUUUUAAUGUACUCAUUC
RNAcentral lists this ribosomal RNA (517 nucleotides) under uncultured Glomus. RNAcentral's name for it is "SSU rRNA". It matches the Rfam family "Eukaryotic small subunit ribosomal RNA", at positions 569 to 1081 of the family's 1831-position model. The record is from RNAcentral. Lineage: Eukaryota; Fungi; Glomeromycota; Glomeromycetes; Glomerales; Glomeraceae.